UCUCUCUCACGCCUCUCUUAUUUCUCUCUCGCACCACCCUCUUAAUCUUCUUUGUCUCUCACGCAAGGCACUUCUGUUUAGCACAUACGUUUAAUUGUUUCAAUUACAUCUCAAUUGCGAAUUAGGGCUGUCGAAUUUGGGGGUUUUCAGUUCUGAGUUCAAAUUAAGACUUAUUAACUCAAACUUCUUCGACUAAUCGCUCUCUUUCUUUGUUUGUAGGUACGAUUUGAGUUACUGGGAUUCAAUAUGUGUUAAGGUAAUUCCCCCCUCUCUAUAUAUUGCUUAUUUGGGUGGUUGUCCAAUGCUCUCUAUGAUUAUUUGAGUGUUCUGUGUGCUUAUUUGGGGUUCAAUUUGAGUGCUUGUCCUAUAGUUCAAAUUAGGGCUUAUUUGAGUGCUUAUUCUAGUGCAUGUGAUAUUUAGUUUUUGGUGAAAUCACUUUUGGAAUUUUAAAGGUAUU
RNAcentral lists this long non-coding RNA (457 nucleotides) under Daucus carota (carrot). Its description in RNAcentral is "long non-coding RNA (DCAR_LNC007346)". Lineage: Eukaryota; Viridiplantae; Streptophyta; Magnoliopsida; Apiales; Apiaceae. The record is from RNAcentral.